CCUGGCUCAGGCUGGUCGAAUCACAGCACCUCCACAUGCCCCAGCACACACAGUGACUGUCUAGGGGUGGGCCUGUGACUCAAUCCCGCCAGGAAAAUCCUUCCAGGAAAUGUCUGUAGCUGGGAUUGUGGACAAGUAUUUCCUCUUUGGACACAGGCAGGCACGUUUAAUUGUACGAAAACUCUCCCACCUGGCUGGCAGUACUUCAGGAUAAACCACAUUUUCAAAAGAACAUCUGCUUUUGACUACCGAGGAGAUUGAAUUGUUUCAAAGUGUCACCUGUUCUGUGGCAAGCAAGUGGACCUGUUUUAAUGAUUUUAAGGAGAUAUUGUUUACGGACCAUAUAAACAGUCACUAAAGCCCCCAUAACGUACUCAGAGUAAAAUGAUGCAGAGAAAUAAUGGGCUGGAGAGGACUGAAUGGGCCCAGUGUCUCUGGUGUUCAGCUUAUAGGAAUGUUUGGUUUCUAAACCAUAGGCAAUGCAGACAUCUGUGUUCUUCAAAUGCCUUAAACAUGUUUACCUUGGGUAACACCACACUUGGAUAACAUACAGAAAAAAAUUCCUUCUUUUGAUUUUUCUUCCUAAUUACACGGGGCUGAUGAAUCUAAUCUGGUUUCUUUGUUGGCCCCCUUUUCGAGUCAGUAGAGGGAGCCAGAGUGACCGAGCCGGCCGUCCUGACCUGGCAGGCUUCAAUCAGGCAAUCAGGCCAGAAAAUUGUAGCCGGAGAGUUUCCCUUGGGCUCCAAACAAGCAGAAAAGGGGCAGUGAGGGGAGCAGGAGCUUUCUGAAUCAGGUAGGGCAAGGCUCUCAUGAAGUGUUGCAGUGUUGCAUCAAGAAAAGACCAUUUACAAAGGGGAUCUUUGUGAUGCCCCAUGAUAAAGAGCAAAAUUCGUUUUAUGCAAAUUAGGCAUUACGUAAUCUCCUUCUACACAGUUGGCCUUGGAAAUACACUGCAAGUUUGUGGAGACGGUCCUUGCCGUAUGAGGCCCUGGUGUGUGUUAGCACAGAAUUAGCAAAUUGCUAGAUUCUUGUCAUAGUUCUCAUUAAAUUUCCUAUCCACCACUAUUUUCUCUUUUCCGGGUGCCUGCAUUGGUCUCCUGACAGGUCUCUAUGCUUUCACUUUUACUCAUCUAUACCCUGUUUGUGAUGUGGGAGCCAGAGUGAUCCUUUACAAAUAAGUCACUCUGUUCAAUGACCCUCUGAAGCCUUCCCAACGUAGAGGAAAAGCCGGGGCCCUUGCAACGGCCUCCAAAGUCCCCCACCCUUUGGUGCUUCAUCAUUCUCUGUCCUCAUCCCCCACUGUUCUCCCUCUGCUCCAGGUGGCUGGCCCCUUGCAGCUCCUGGACACUCAAGUUCAUCCCUACCUUAGAAGGCUUUGCAGUGGCUGUUCCUCCACUGAACGCUUUUCCCACAGGCAAACUCCAAGCUCUUCAGCCUUUACUCAAAUAUCAUCUUCACAAUCCACCUAGGAUACUGCUGGUUCCCCGUCUCUUGACAUAUAUUUGGUAACAUUUAAUAACUUUCUAACCUACUACACAAUUCACUUAUUUACUAUAUUUGCUACUUUUUGUCUGUCUUCAGCUACUAGAAUUUAAGCUCUGAGGGUAAGAAAUUUUUUUUUUUUAAUUUUCAUUUUCAGAGGAUUGUGGAUUCACAUGCAAAUUGGAAGAAAUGGUACAAACAGAUCUUGUAUACCAGUUACUCAGUUUCCUCCAGUGGGAACGUCUUCCAAAACAACAGUACAACAUCACAGUCAGAAAAUUGACAUUGAUACACUUUAUCCACCUUAUUCAGAUUUUAUUAUUUUAUGUGAAUUGAUUUCUGUGUGUAUUUAGUUCCAACCAAUUGUAUCGCGCAUUUAGAUCUGUGUGACCAUCAUGUGUGUGACAAUCAAGAUACUGAACAGUUAGCUCCCUUACAAGGUUCAGGGUAAGAAUUUUUAUUUAAUUCAUUGAUAUAUUCCGAGGAUCUGGCACAUAGGAAGUGCUCUAUGCAUAUUUAUUUAAUAAAUCAAGUUAUUUUUUGUAAUGGAACUUAUGUAAAAAUAUUAUCAGCAUCGGGUUACCAAAUAUUUUUUUGGGGGGGGGGGUAACCAAAUAAUUUAAAGCCAUAUUCAGGUUGGGUUUUCUCUUUUGGUUAUUGUUCAUUUAAAAUGUAUCUAAUAAAUGUAAUUCUUUUAGAGUACA
Canis lupus familiaris (dog) is the source of this 2186-nucleotide long non-coding RNA. RefSeq lists it as uncharacterized. The record is from RefSeq and is a predicted model, not a curated record. The transcript is spliced from 2 exons. NCBI's taxonomy places the organism in Eukaryota, Metazoa, Chordata, Mammalia, Carnivora, Canidae.